AUAACAGUAGUGUUGGUCCUGGUCUCCAGGCUGUCAGGUAAAUGAUUAUAACAGUAGUGUUGGUCCUGGUCUCCAGGCUGUCAGGUAGAUGAUUAUAACAGUAGUGUUGGUCCUGGUCUCCAGGCUGUCAGGUAAAUGAUUAUAACAGUAGUGUUGGUCCUGGUCUCCAUGCUGUCAGGUAGAUGAUUAUAACAGUAGUGUUGGUCCUGGUCUCCAGACUGUCAGGUAGAUGAUUAUAACAGUAGUGCUGGUCUCCAGGCUGUCAGGUAGAUGAUUAUAACAGUAGUGUUGGUCUCCAGACUGUCAGGAUGAUGAUUAUAA
Molecule: long non-coding RNA, 321 nt
Filed under: Salmo salar (Atlantic salmon)
Lineage: Eukaryota; Metazoa; Chordata; Actinopteri; Salmoniformes; Salmonidae
Description: lncRNA (ENSSSAG00000121040.1)
Source: RNAcentral